GUGGAUUUGGGGUAUAGCAUAUAGAUCAUUAAUCUAUGGUCAUCUUAUGAUUAGGAACGGUGGUUGUUAAUGGUUGGACGGAGGCAGCAGCUAGGCCCAUCAGCUAGCUCGUCCUCAUUCAAUACCCCAACCGGAAGUCUCUCAGUUUUACCACAUCUGGACCAGAGCGUCUGCAGCCUCUCCUUCUCUCUCCAAAAUGUUCUUAUCUUUCACAGUAAAGGGCAGGCUACACCUACACCUUCUUCCUAUCCUAUGAUGAUUCCAUUCCCACGUUACCACAUCCUGAAAGUGAAAACAGAACCUAAGUCCCUCUCAACCGCAUGAAACAAACAUCAAAUUGAACACAGAAUAAUAACAUUCUCUUCCUUCCAUUUUAACGCUAAUCUCUUUCCAACACAAUGAGCCAGUGUGUUCCCAGCUGGGAUCUCGACGACAAUCCCUCUCCUGCCAAGCAAUCCCUUCGUUCCCACUCCAAUUCAACCGCAAUUGAUGUCCCUAUGUUAGACUACGAAGUAGCAGAGUUAACAUGGGAGAAUGGCCGAUUAGCCAUGCACGGACUAGGUCCACCGCGAGUGCCUGCCAAACCCAUGGCCUCCACCUCUCCCUCCAAGUACAACUGGGACAAGCCACGCGCCAAUGGAACCCUCGAAUCCAUAGUCAAUCAAGCUACUCUCUUGCCCCAACGUAAGCCUGGGUUGGAGAACAGUGGAUGUAGAUCAGAAGAGCUUGUCCCAUGGUUAGAGCACAACCGCGCAGCACCAGCCGCCUCCGCUACUGUGACUAUGGACGCCAUGGUUCCUUGUUCGAACCGGCCUGAUGACCGUAGCGCGCAAGUGAUGGACUCCGUCCCCGGGUUAGGUAACUGCGUGGUGGCUAGUUCCACUCGCGUGCGGUCGUGCAGCGGCCGAGCUGCCACGCAAGACGAGGACGCUCUCCUCAACGCGAAACGCCAGACGGUGGCCCGUGUCCCUGUGGCGCCCGAGUGGAGCAGCAGGCAAAGCGUUAGUGGUAGCGCAACUUUUCGGGGAGAUAGCAAGCAGGUGACGCUGGACACGUGCGAGAGGGACCUGGGUGUGGGUUUUACUUCCACUUUUGGGUCGCAGGAAAACACCAGCUGCGGCGAGCCCGGAACCAAGACGACCGCCGCAGAUGAGAAUGACUCCGUUUGUCACAGUGGACCACAGGCAAAUUAUUCUUAGUAUUAUUUUUUUAAUUCUCUUAUAUUUAAUAAUCUAAUUGGGUAAUAAAGUUGUAUAUUUAUUUUAUGGUUUUCUGGUUAAAAAGAUGGAUGAAGGCGAUGAUGAGGAGGACAAGAAGAAAGGAAACGGGAAAUCCUCGGUUUCAACCAAAAGAAGUAGGGCUGCUGCUGUUCAUAACCAAUCUGAACGUGUAUGCUCUCUUUCUCUCUCUGAGAGUUUGUUGUCUUCACAAUAGUUUAUUAUAUGAUUAGUCUGUAAAAGAAAUGAAAUUUUUAAAUUUGAUUAAGCUAAAAGCUUAAUGAACUGAUUCUUUCAUCAUAGUCAACGUUGGUAGUAAUUGUUCUGAACUGACACGGUCAUAAAAAGUACCUUGCUAGAAGGCUGCUCGACUUUAAAUAUAGUUUAAAGCAGUCAGGUAGGGCUACUGCCAUUCAAAACCAAUAUGGAGGCGCAUGUUUCUUCUCUAUAAUAUUGCUAAUAAUAAAUUAUUAAUGAAUAUAUUGAUGGAAUUAUAUAGUUUAGAAUUGAUAACCCAAAUGAUUCUAUUAUAAAUAUUGUUUAAGUGUAUCAUUUGUUCUUGGGGAUUUUUUUUAUUAAUUCGUUUGUAACGUUUGAAAAUUAUAAGUAAACGACAUUGAAUACUCGGCAUUUGAUACUACGCAUUCAUUUUCAUUGAUUUUCUUCUCAUCAUCAUUGCUUGUACUGUGUCCUUUUCUGUUCACUAACUUAUCCCCGAUUUUAUUUAUUGCUAGAAAAGGAGAGAGAAGAUAAACCAAAGGAUGAAGACACUGCAGAAGCUGGUCCCAAAUUCCAGUAAGUAAAUAGCAUUAAAGUGGAAGGCUCGCGGAAUCCCAGCAAAUAGGCAUCAAUGGAGUCACUAGCGAGAGUGGAUGAGCGUCGGCAUCAUCCAGACUUUAUGUUUUAUAAUUAUUCCCAUUUGUGGGGACAAAUUGUCAGCAAGCUAAGUCAAGUCUUUUGGACUAGCAAAAGAUCGUUUUACUGUUUUAUCCUGACAUAAUAUUAAAUCAUUUUAGGUGACAUUUGAUAAAAAGAGAUGUCACCUUUACCUGUAAAAAAAUUGUUAGUACACCUAUGGAAUUGCUCUUCUUGUAAAUACCCAAAUUGGACACCAGACAAAACAAGGCAAAAUUGUGGUCCAAAUUAUUUUGCACUGAUUGAAUGGGAAAUGGCUGUGCGUAUCUUGAGACUGGUCCAGUUGAUUAUAAUCCACAUGCCCAAUUGGCUAUGGGGACAAGACAACUUGACAGAAGGUUGUUUGGUGUGGAGACAAUCACCUGGUACCACAUAAACUCAUCUCCACUGUAGGCCCUGAUGCCUCUGUGUUUCUAGUUUCAAUUUACUAGUUGCCACUGGCCGGUGAAAUUAGGACUCUGGAGAUAGAUGGAUAGAUAGACCUAGCGUUGGCUGGGGCUUUUGGUCUUGGUCAGAUUGAAGCACAUAUAUAAAACAAUUCAGGAUACUUAAUCAUGUGAAGUAUACUGUAAACAGACAAGAGGGUCGAUGUUUAAUUAGUUUGUUAAUGAGAAAGCAGAACAUAGAAAAAUGUAAAUGCCUUUUCCUCGUUUGUUUUAGACGGACAAAGCCUCGAUGCUGGAUGAAGUAAUCGAAUAUCUGAAACAAUUGCAAGCUCAAGUCCAAAUGAUGAGUAGAAUGAACAUGCAGCCAAUGAUGUUGCCGAUGGCAAUGCAACAGCAACUCCAGAUGUCAAUGUUGGCUCCAAUGAAUAUGGGCUUGGGUGUAGGAAUGGGAAUGGGCGUCAUGGACAUGAACUCAAUUGCUCGUCUCAAUAUUCCUGGUAUCUCUCCAGUGCUUCAUCCUUCUGCUUUCAUGCCCAUGGCUUCGUGGGAUGGCUCCGGUGCCCGCUUACAAUCUGCCUCCACCGCAGUUAUGCCUGAUCCAUUAUCCGCAUUCCUUGCAUGCCAAUCACAGGUACAGAUAGCUGGCAACCCAAUAUAUAGAGAGUUCAUUAUCUAUGAUUUGGAAUUGUACGUUGGAUAAUGAGCUAUAUAUAUAAAUUUGUUGCAGCCUAUGACUAUGGAUGCAUACAGUAGGAUGGCUGCCAUAUACCAGCAGCUGCAACAGCAACCUCCUGCUUCUAGCUCCAAAAGCUAAGCUAAGCUAUAUAUGAUCUGCGUACUCAUGGGUUCACUUUAAAACAAAAGCUAAAGCUUAAAAAAAUGAAAUAUAGCUCUCAUGCGUCGGGAAAGCUUGUGCUCCAGUGCUCUCAGGCGUGGAUAUGAAUAUAAAUAUGUUUAGCUACAAGCAUCUGUGGCUGUGUGUUUGAGGCAUAUAUCUGUUUAGAUAUGUAUGCUCCAUUUUGGGUAACAAUCAGUACAACCUGUGUAGUGUGCGUAUGAUAAUUUUUAUUUUUCCAAGUUUUCAUUCAUUAAUAUGCGGCCUAGUUAGCUAUAGUACGUUUGCACCACCCUUUUUUUAACUUUUUUAAUUUCCCCCCUACCCUCACAAUGUUUAUAUCUGGAUUUUUUAAAACUUGUUCAUAUGGUUCUAUUGGUUUUCUUUAUAAUUGAGUCUUUAUGUACAUAAUUAAUAAGUAAUUAACUUUGAG
This 3786-nucleotide unclassified non-coding RNA is filed under the name Hevea brasiliensis (rubber tree). The record is from RNAcentral. Lineage: Eukaryota; Viridiplantae; Streptophyta; Magnoliopsida; Malpighiales; Euphorbiaceae.